This 4801-nucleotide long non-coding RNA is filed under the name Pomacea canaliculata. RNAcentral describes it as "uncharacterized LOC112559339". The record is from RNAcentral. Lineage: Eukaryota; Metazoa; Mollusca; Gastropoda; Architaenioglossa; Ampullariidae.
AGCUGCUCAGAAAACAAAGCAAAUCGUUUUCAGAAGUAUAUGAUAAAAACACCAGACAAUAUCUGGGAUUACAGUUAUAAAAAGAUUAUAAUUUUGGUAUCAAUUUUACAUGAUACAGGAUACAUACUUCUAAUGUGCGUUUUGUGCAUCUUCUGAAAUUCAUUUGCAGAUGAACACAAGAUUGUUCCGAAAAUAUCAGUCAGUUGUCCCUUGACCGGCACCUGUCAUUGGGGGGAGCACAGUGGCAGAGAGGUAGCUGACAGGCCGACACUCUUUCCUAUUGUGGGCGAUAGUCAGACCAGUCCAGUCUUUGACCAUCGUAAACCAAUAAACCUGGUCAUCGCGGCUUCCACUACCCUCUGAGGUCUUCUGCUGCGAAAUCAGAGAGGAGACAUCAGUCUCUGAGGAAAUGCCACUUCGAGUUCAUCGGGCUGUUUACUUCAGCUGAAAUAAUAAAGGCCGAGCUGAAUAUUUUUAAGACGAGAAGAGGGAGGACCAAGGUCGUGAGGAUCAACAACUUUGAUGGACCCUGGGCAAACUUGAAGGUCCGAUCCGUGGCUGGUGGUGACUGGACAAACAACCUUCCGUCCGUUAUAGCCAUCUUUCAACUGAAUGGCUGAUUGGCUGAACAAGAAAAUUGUCCUAUCAAAGGAAAGAGAAAGGGGAAGAAUACCUGGACAAGACUGAAGUUCUCAUCAUUAAUGGCACCAUCUGUAGUCACUUAUUUGAACUAACGAGAAUUUCUUGAAAAAUAGCUUGAUCACAAAUUAAUGUUUUAAUGAAACAUGAUAUUUAAAUAAUUUUAAAAACGUGAAAAUUGCUUGAAAUGUGAUUUAUUUGUACUUUUAUUGCAAAAUAAGACCGACUGAAUGUAAAAGAAGCAAAUUUAUUUUGUGUCGCCAUGUGCUAACGCGUUAGAGUUUACCUUGUUGACAAAACAGUCGGACACAGGUGCACAUGCAGAUUUUUGUUUUCAUUAAUGGCGAGUGGGUCGUGUAGAGGAAAACCCCAAGGUAGCCUCACUCUAAUUUUAAAAUGACGAGUUUAAAUUAAGCCGUCCGUUGUGCUCGCCUUAAUUGUGGAAUAAUUUACCGUUCCCAGUAAAAAAAUAAACAUGGGUUGGUGUUUUACGCCGAGCCAGAAACUAAGGCUAUAUCACGUCAAGGCAACCAACCCUGUAAACAGAUGCCACAUGCAGAGAAAGAACAGCGUGCCCGAGACGAGAUCCGAACCCACGACAGCCAACCCUCACUGUCCUGGUGACAGGCGCUAACCGUUGCACCACCGGACCGCCCAAUUCGAGCACGGAAAUGAAAUAUUCAGCGUCCGACAAAUCUCCAUAAUUUUAAUAAAUCUCGAGACCAACCGAGGUAAAACAGGUUUGAAGGGAAAGCCGGAGACGAAUGAAGCGCAUUAUACAGACGCUCUGCACAGAAUUCGAACAACAGCGGCGUGCAAGAAACAAAUAAAAAUUUGUUGUCCUGGAUUUUUUUCGCUAAUGACAGAAUUAUGCAUACGCUGACUGUUGACCUUCCACUCCUACUUCUGGCCAUUCUACAGGAGGAGGGGUCGAGUUUGCACGCCAUGAAAGCCUCACUGACGUAUGGAACGCAGCCCGCUGUCAAAAAGUGGUCCAGCGCCUAUUUGACAGCCUCUUGUACCGCAUGCCUUUAACCGCCGCGGUCAGCAGGCCCGCUGAUGCUGUGGUGGUCAUUGACUGUGUGAGUUACUCUUCUCAGCCUCUCUCUUAACGGCAGCUUUGUUACCGCAGUUGCUAGCGGCACUGAAUCUCAGGAGACCUGUUGGAUGUGAUGAAUUGGUAACUUGCUUGCAUUCUUUUGCCUUUUAAAAAAAAAGUUACUUAUGAAAGAAGAUGAGAAUAACAAAGUGUUUAUUUUUUUCCAAAAAAAAGCAAUCUUCUACUUUCGAAAUAACUUAAAAACAACUCAUAAAUGCCAGUUUCUUUGGGAAUGCACAGUAUCAUGUUACUGUUGAAUUGAUAACAGUUACUCGAAGGGGAAAGUAUUGUCCUUGAGACAAGAUGUACAAAAUUAAAAAAAUACCAAAACUUACAGAAUGAUUACAACAAUUAGGAGGUGAGAUUUAUAAGCGAGGUUCUGUAACAGAGAAAAAUAUAGUUGGUAACCUCCGCGGCCAUCAAAGGAAGGAACAUAUUUCCAUCUGACUAUGCUGUCAUCUUACUACAGGGACUAAAAGAAAAACAAGGAAUUAAAGUGCCUUCUAUGAACUGAAAGGGUAAAACGGGAUCCUAGUAAUGUGGAGUUUGUACAAUCGUUAGAAGGUGACUGACACACUGCUCUUCUGAACAAGCAUCUUCAAAGGAAGUUAUAAAUUGUAUUUUUACCUUCAAAGUUAGGUACAUACCAUACACGAUAUUAUCAUCUUUUUUUCCUUGCUAAAUUUUUAAAAUAAAUGUCCUCCUGGGGUUUCUAUUAAAAAUUUAUUUAAAGACGUCAGUGGUGUGCUAAAUAAGUGAAACUGUGAAAGGGAGUAACUUAAUUAGGAAAGUAUUAAUAGAAUGUUACACCACCGACCCACUAAAAAAAAAAUGUCUAAAAAAAAAGUAAUAUUUUUACUAGAAGUAUUUUACUAAUAAUACUUCUCCGGUUUGCUUUAUUCAAGUGUUGUGACACAGUGGAUUGAUAGGUAGGCUUUGCGGAGCUACAGAGACUGGUGUAACCGAGGUCACGGAAGUGCGCUGGAGAUAGCCAUUUGUUAACGUUGGUGUCAUUGCUAUUCACGCGUGUCACCGGCAUGCCUCCAGUUUGUCUCCAUCAGGCUCGUCCCCGGACUCCUUCUCGUGAUGUCCACCUGUAAGACUUCAAAGAAUGUGCCGGCAGGUGGCCUAACGACGUAGAUUUUCCCCCUUGUCGAAAAUAUGUAGUCUGCGCUCCUUCCGUGAGCUCCGUGAGCUUCGUGGUCUUCUCGCUUGAGUGAGCGCAGACUGGAUGUGGAGAACUGUACCAACAACAUUUGCUGACCAGACAUCUUCCUUCCAGAAGAGUGCUUUGUCGUAUAUCGAAUCUUGCACAGGCCAGACGACACCGGAUAACCAUUCCCCCUCUGACGUGCAAAGAACGAGACAUCGCAUGAGCAGCCUGCGACGAAACUCGCCAAGUUUCCGCCUGCAGCGUGAGAAGAGGCAGAUGCAGCUGGUCAACGUGGACGCGCGGCAGAUCUAUAAAGAGACGGCGACGAAAGAGGAGAGAGAGAAGGGUGUGGGCUAUCAUGCGCAGCAACAAUGUCACUACCAUCGCCUCGACUCCUUCUUUCUGCUGCUGCCGUCCUCGCUGCUUUGAAGAUUGUCCAGCCUGUGUGCGGCCUCCCUCCUCACUUCCCUCUGGUUGGGAUGAGUCCGUCACCACCCACCCAUCACAGUUUGCCGCAGGUCGUUGAUGGACAACUAACUGGUUUGGCGCUUCUGUCGACUGCAGCUGUCCCCAGACACAUUCGAGAUGUAGCAGUAAUGCCGAACUGUGGAUCUCUGGCUGGACGAUGUCGCAAUAUUCCUAGAGGCACGUGUGUGAGGAUGUGUGUAAACAACGUGCUAAGGAGGGUUUGCCGAACUUACGACACCAGUGAUAUCUGCAGAGUGUACCGCUUUGUCUCCUAAUACUGGUCUCAAAGGAUGGCGUCCUGUCCAAGGACCCUUCACGCAUGUCAAGAAAGACUGGUUACUUUUCAAUGAGCGUCAAGACAUUCGCCUGUUUUGUUUUGUAUUUUUUUUUUCAGUACGCGGACAGGCCAUCAAUCGUGGAGAAGAAACUCCUCAUGCUACAACACCUAAUGUCAACAGUAACAAAGUGCGUGUUCUGUUGUCUUCGCCAAAGAUAUUCUACUGGCUGGCUACAAAGAUAGGUUAAAGGUCAGGAUCGCCGUGUUUAGGUGGUCAGCUGGUUCCAAUCCUGUGAAUCCUGGACUGUGAUAAUCGUAUACCGAUGAAUCUUGUCAUACACUCUGUCCCAAGUUUCUUAACUGUAAGACAGAAGUCAAUGAAUGCUUUGCCUUCACGUUAUUAUGCUUUGUGUGAUGAAACAAACUUGUUAACCUCACAUACUGGACAUUCUGUAUUGCCAUGGGCUCAUACUUUCGUUGAUUUUACUUAAAUUCAUUUAUUACACUUCCAAAGUAAGAUAGAAUAAGAUGUCUUUCUUCUCGUUAAAAAUUCACGCUAUGAUAAAAAUGAUUUCUUGUUUUAAUAAAAAUAUCACUGUAAUGUGAAGAAUAACUAGAAAAACGUUGACAUUGUCACAAGACUGAAAUUCUAAUUUUUAUCAUGUGGUUAAAUAUAUCAAGAAUGAGCAGGGAUGAAAAUAUUAUUUAAUGUUGCAAAUGUUUAUGGUUCCAUUUAGGUUUAGACCUGUAAGACUCCAAAUUUUGACACUUGUUAUUAUAUGACAAAGAUUAUCUACAUGGCGCGUGAGUAAGCAGGGUGAGCAUGAGUACGUGCAGUCAGUAAGUAAACGGUUGAGUGAAAGGAACUAUGUGGAUGAGUGGUAGGGUUGGUGACAAAUGACUUCAUAUACAAGCAAGGUAUACUCAUGGAUAAUAGUGGUAUCCCAUUCACUAGCUGUUCGUCAAUCUUCUUCGCAGAUGCAUUCAUUCCUGGACAAGUUAAAAGCCUUACAAAUAUUUUGUUUCCCACAUUGCCGUGAAACCUUCCUGAGCAUAAAAUGGCCUUAACAUCAGGUGGUGGGUAAAUACAGCGGAACAAAUCUAUUUUCCAUGAUCGUCAUCGAUAUACAUGUUUUCGCUAAUCGCAGUAAAGUCUGUUACAGCG